CCCCGCCUUUUUACGAUUUUUUAAGGUUUGUACGUAUUGGUCUCUACCACCCUUCAUUCAAAGUUCCAGGGUGCUUCACAACAAUUGGCAAUAAAUAUUGCAGCAUGGGUUUUGUCAGGUGCCCUAAAAUGCCAAGUCCUGGUGCCAGUCCUGAAGAGGGCCUAUAACCUUUAUUGCAAGAGCCUCUUUGCUGCACAUUUGCUCAGAAGAAGGUCCAGCUGUGUUCCACACCUCAAAAUUACACCUUUGAAAUUUUGGAGGAUCUGUUUCAGUUGGCAUUUGGUUGGGGCACCUUGCAGUGCCAAUGGCUUUAUUGCAGAGGCAGGAAUUUUGCUUCCUCUCAAAUUCAGGAUUUUUGUACUUGCAACAUUUUUUUAAGCUUUUUAAAAAGUCUCUUAAAGGAAAAGAUUAUCGUUUCUUGUGGAGAAGUUAGCUCGCUCAUCUUCAGAUAAAUUGCUUAUAGCAAGCUGCCUUAGACAGUGUCAGAACAUCAGUCCAUCCAUUGUCUACACUGAUUGGUAGCAGCUCACCAGCAUUUCGGAUUGGUGACAUUCGCAGGCCUAUCAGGAGAUGUUGCUCAGGAUUAGUUGUUGUGUUGUUAUUAUUUAUAAUCUGCAUGCAAAGCAGAUUGUCUAAUCACUGACAGAGUAAGGGGGUUAUGGCCCACUCCGGGUGUCAUCCCGGGGGGGGGGUGACAUCGCCACCGCCCCUGAUGCUCGCUGCAGGUGGCAGCGCCCCCGUGCUUGCCGUGCUGCCCCUGUGGGUGGCUUGCCCACCCGUGGUGCACAGCAUGUGCGCUGUUCUGGGUGCCAAAACAGCAUUCUGCGUGUGAUCCUUUCUUCAUCCCCAGACUUGGGAUUUUUCUACUGCAUUUAAAAGGAACACUACAGAACAAAAAUGCGCCUGGCUAAGAGUGGUAAUCAUUGAGCGAUUGGCAAAGCCCUUAUAGGUAUAUUCUGCCUAUGUGACCCCUCUUGUUGCAGUUGUGCCACAGCUGUAUUUCCAGUGCCAGAAACUUGGAGAAAGCAAAAGAGUAGGGACUGGAUCCCUCACACCCCUAUGCCCGUGGUCUUUGCCCCCAAUUCUGCAGUCUCUGAUGAGGAGAAGCCCUCAUCUCAUCUCUUCUAGGCUCAGGCGACUGAGAAAUUUUAUGAACAUCAAGAGGAGCAACAAAGUGGCCCUGUUCCAGCACCAGGAGCAACCUGUAGCACCAGAUGAGCAAGUACCCCGCCGCCGCCGCCAUUUUUUGGAAGGGAAGGGCAGGAAUAGGCUUGGGUGGCAGCUCAGGGUACAGGGAUUUGUCGGGGAGGGGAAGCUAGUAAAAAAAUCAAAAGAGCCAGACUGCUGUUUCCGACCCAAGGCUCAUCUGGUCCAGCACCUGGAAACCUACCCCAGUGGCCAGCCAGUUUUGUGGGGUCUGAUGAAAAUGCUAUUGGCUGAGAAAGGAGAAAAGGCAUUUCUGGAGGAAGCAGGUGGCAGAGGCAGCUGAUAGGAUAGGGCUGGGUGACAGUUGUCAGUUAGAGGGCCACAUUCUCUUGUGAGCCACAUUCUGGGAGCUGCAGGCCAAGAUUGGCCCCUAAGGCCUGGGCUGUGCCACCCCUGUAGUAGGACUUUGGUAAAUGUAGAAGCAGGGAAAUCAAAGAGAAGUCUCUUGGAAUAAUCUUGGAAGCUGCUAAGGGAUGAACUAACUUGUCCCCAUGUCCUUCUCUUGUUGCAGUUGUGCCACAGCUCUUCAAGGCUUUUCCGGAGCCUGAGAUUAGCACUGGGGAAAACAAAAGAGUAGGGACUGGAUCCCUCAGACCCUCUGCCCACUGACUGUAGUCUUUGCCCCCAAUUCUGCAGUCUCUGAAGCGGAAAAUCCCUCACCUCAAAAUAAACUGACAGCCUGACUUUUGCCAUUUCAGCCAUUGGACCUUGAAAAGCUGUUCUUGGUGCAGCUUAUCGGGACUUGUAUGGAGGCCACAUAGAGGGGCUUCCCAAAGCAUUGAGCUCCCCAAACAUCUGGCUGCUGAAGGAAUUUUAGUGAGUGCGUAAGUUAUCUGUUAUGCAUUAGGUUUAACACAUUUUAUGUUACAAGGCGCAUUCUAACCAAUCAUAUAAGCGUUGAUGGACGAACGUUCUAAUGGCAAGUAAGCGCAUGCACUUUCAACUGUCAACUGUCAACUUUCAACAGUCAGUUCAUGCUCGGUUUAUUAUUAUGUUGUCCAGUCAGUUUGGUUCUUGUGUUCCUAUGAGUGAGCUGUUGUCACUGACAAAUGUUGAAUAAACUUAGCUGAGGAACUUAUACUAUCUUGGGCUUCUGACUUUUUCUGAACAUUUAACAUUGGCGACGAGGAUGGGAUCAAUGAGCUCCCAGCGGCUGCCAGAGGCCCAAGACCGCACCGCAGCACUACCGCCUGCCGCCUUGCAGUAAGCGCAACCUCAGCGCCACACUGGACUCAGCAAAUUGUCCUGGAAAUGAGACCGUGCCUGCCGCGUCUUCACAACCACCCACAAUUGCACAAGCGACUGCUCCAGGUCCAAGGAUGGCUACCAGUCAUAGUCGACUGCCACUGGACUUCGAUAUGAGCCAUCCUGCAGACUGGCUGUAGUGGCUCCGCCGAAUAAGGAGCUACGUCCGACUACAAGGCUUCACUACGGAGGCAAGGUGGAUGUGCUACUAACAGUGCUGGGAAGUUCCGCCAUCACUCUACUGGAAGGUCUGGUGCCACCCAGGGACAUAGAGGUAUGCACUUUUGAUGAGCUGACACAUAUAACAUAAAAUAUGUUAAACCCAAUACAUAACAUUACCCUUGCAGUGGGAGGGCCGGGGAUGGGAUUUGGGGGACGUGUUGUGUGUCUGCCUGAGAGGAGAUCCCAUGCAGGCAUAGGGCAUGGAGUUUUCCUUUCCUGCGGAAAGCAAAGCACGGAGUUUCGGGUUGGAGCCAUCCUUCAGAUGCCCACAGGGGGACCUAAGUUUUCUCCCUUGCUCGCUUUCAGGACAUUCGCACCAUCAUCCAUUCAACUUUUCAGGCGAUCAUGGAAGAAGAGAGCGAGGAAGACAAGGAGGUAUGUCAACAACAUACAACAUACAACAACAACAACUAAUCCUGGGCAACAUCACCCCAAAUUAACCAUCAAAUCACAUAGCAUGUCCAUGGCUACAGCCUGCACCAAAAAAAUCACGCACCUACUGUUGCCUGGGGCUGCAAUGGUGCAAAAACGUGGUUACAAAGGAGGAUGAGAUACAAACUCCCCCAGACUGGAUAA
Non-coding RNA from Podarcis lilfordi (Lilford's wall lizard), 3249 nucleotides. The record is from the annotation of a GenBank genome assembly. Lineage: Eukaryota; Metazoa; Chordata; Lepidosauria; Squamata; Lacertidae.